GCUCCGUUGGUGAACCAGCGGAGGGAUCAUUACCGAGUUUACAACUCCCAAACCCAAUGUGAACCAUACCAAACUGUUGCCUCGGCGGGGUCACGCCCCGGGUGCGUCGCAGCCCCGGAACCAGGCGCCCGCCGGAGGGACCAACCAAACUCUUUCUGUAGUCCCCUCGCGGACGUUAUUUUUGCAGCUCUGAGCAAAAAUUCAAAAUGAAUCAAAACUUUCAACAACGGAUCUCUUGGUUCUG
This 244-nucleotide unclassified non-coding RNA is filed under the name plant metagenome. Its description in RNAcentral is "partial contains small subunit ribosomal RNA, internal transcribed spacer 1, and 5.8S ribosomal RNA". The record is from RNAcentral.